GCGGGAAUAGCUCAGUAGGUAGAGCACGACCUUGCCAAGGUCGGGGUCGCGAGUUCGAAUCUCGUUUCCCGCUCCA
Molecule: transfer RNA, 76 nt
Filed under: Alcanivorax jadensis
Lineage: Bacteria; Pseudomonadati; Pseudomonadota; Gammaproteobacteria; Oceanospirillales; Alcanivoracaceae
Also listed under: 1 other name
Description: tRNA-Gly
Rfam family: tRNA
About the family: Transfer RNA (tRNA) molecules are approximately 80 nucleotides in length. Their secondary structure includes four short double-helical elements and three loops (D, anti-codon, and T loops).
Source: RNAcentral